This 837-nucleotide ribosomal RNA is filed under the name uncultured bacterium. RNAcentral's name for it is "bacterial SSU rRNA". It matches the Rfam family "Bacterial small subunit ribosomal RNA", at positions 62 to 885 of the family's 1533-position model. The record is from RNAcentral.
UCGAGGGGCAGCGGGGGACGCGCUUGCGCGUCCCGCCGGCGACCGGCGCACGGGUGAGUAACACGUAUGCAACCUGCCCCCGCCAGGGGUACAACCCUCCGAAAGGGGGGCUGAUACCGCGUACAUCCCCUGGGGGCAUCCCCGGGGGAGGAGAGCCCUUUUGGGCGGGCGGGGAUGGGCAUGCGGCGCAUUAGGAAGACGGCGGUGUGACGGACCACCGUUCCGACGAUGCGUAGGGGUUCUGAGAGGAAGGCCCCCCACACUGGUACUGAGACACGGACCAGACUCCUACGGGAGGCAGCAGUGAGGAAUAUUGGUCAAUGGCCGGAAGGCUGAACCAGCCAAGCCGCGUGAGGGAGGAAGGCGCAGAGCGUCGCAGACCUCUUUUGCCGGGGGACAAAAGGCCGGACUCGUCCGGUCCUGAGGGUACCCGGAGAAAAAGCAUCGGCUAACUCCGUGCCAGCAGCCGCGGUAAUACGGAGGAUGCGAGCGUUAUCCGGAUUCAUUGGGUUUAAAGGGUGCGCAGGCGGGCCUUUAAGCCGGCGGUGAAAUCGCGGGGCUCAACCCCGCCGAGCCGUCGGAACUGGGGGCCUUGAGUGCGGCGGAGGCAUGCGGAAUGCGCGGUGUAGCGGUGAAAUGCAUAGAUAUCGCGCAGAACCCCGAUUGCGAAGGCAGCGUGCCGUGCCGCCACUGACGCUGAGGCACGAAAGCGCGGGGAUCGAACAGGAUUAGAUACCCUGGUAGUCCGCGCCGUAAACGAUGGAUGCUGGGUGUCCGGGGCGUUCAGGCCCUGGGUGCCGGAGCGAAAGCGGUAAGCAUCCCACCUGGGGAGUACGC